CCUACGGGUGGCAGCAGUGAGGAAUAUUGGUCAAUGGCCGGAAGGCUGAACCAGCCAAGCCGCGUGAAGGACGAAGGUGCCAAGCAUUGUAAACUUCUUUUGUCAAGGGACAAAAUCAGGCUCGAGAGCCUGACCGAUGGUACUUGAAGAAAAAGCAUCGGUUAACUCCGUGCCAGCAGCCGCGUGACUAGGGAGGAUGCGAGCGUUAUCGGGAUUUAGUGGGGUUAAAGGGUGCGUAGGCGGACUGUUAAGUCAGCGGUAAAAGCCCGGGGCUCAACCCCGGCGAGCCGUUGAAACUGGCUGUCUUGAGAUGUCGAGAGGUAUGCGGAAUGCGAAGUGUAGCGGUGAAAUGCGUAG
Molecule: ribosomal RNA, 357 nt
Filed under: uncultured bacterium
Lineage: Bacteria
Description: partial 16S ribosomal RNA
Rfam family: Bacterial small subunit ribosomal RNA
Source: RNAcentral